UCCAGGCCCUAGAAAAAAAAAACGCUGAAAGGAGCCCAAAGUGACAGUUUUUCUGCGAUCACUGUUCUGCUUGGUGUUAUCUGAUUUGUGGCAUUUCAGGAAAAGACAGUU
Small nucleolar RNA from Phacochoerus africanus (Common warthog), 111 nucleotides. Lineage: Eukaryota; Metazoa; Chordata; Mammalia; Artiodactyla; Suidae. The record is from RefSeq and is a predicted model, not a curated record.